GAUGAAGAACGCAGCGAAAUGCGAUAAGUAAUGUGAAUUGCAGAAUUCAGUGAAUCAUCGAAUCUUUGAACGCACAUUGCGCCCGCCAGUAUUCUGGCGGGCAUGCCUGUUCGAGCGUCAUUACAACCCUCAGGCCCCCGGGCCUGGCGUUGGGGAUCGGCGGAGCCCCCCGUGGGCACACGCCGUCCCCCAAAUGCAGUGGCGGUCCCGCCGCAGCUUCCAUCGCGUAGUAGCUAACACCUCGCGACUGGAGAGCGGCGCGGCCACGCCGUAAAACACCCAACUCUUCUGAAGUUGACCUCGAAUCAGGUAGGAAUACCCGCUGAACUUAAGCAUAUCCAAUAAGCGGAGA
Molecule: unclassified non-coding RNA, 352 nt
Filed under: soil metagenome
Description: partial contains 5.8S ribosomal RNA, internal transcribed spacer 2, and large subunit ribosomal RNA
Rfam family: 5.8S ribosomal RNA (bases 1-120)
Source: RNAcentral